RNAcentral lists this ribosomal RNA (403 nucleotides) under uncultured bacterium. RNAcentral's name for it is "partial 16S ribosomal RNA". It matches the Rfam family "Bacterial small subunit ribosomal RNA", at positions 30 to 526 of the family's 1533-position model. The record is from RNAcentral.
AUUGAACGCUGGCGGCAGGCCUAACACAUGCAAGUCGAGCGAGCGGCGGAAGGGUGAGUAAAGUAUGGGGAAUGCGCGAUAGAGGGGGAUAACUACUGUAAACGGUGGCUCAUACCGCAUACUGUAUGAUAACCACUAGUGGAUUAGCUAGUAGGUAAGGUAAUGGCUUACCCAGGCGCCGAUCCCUAGCUGGUCUCAGAGGAUGAGCAGCCACACUGGAACGGAGACACGGUCCAGACUCCUACGGAGGCAGCAGUGGUGAAUAUUGCACAAUGGGCGCAAGCCUGAUGCAGCCAUGCCGCGGGUAUGAAGAAGGCCCUAGGGUUGUAAAGUACUUUCAGUCGGGAGGCGUUACCGACAGAAGAAGCACCGGCUAACUCCGUGCCAGCCGCCGCGGUAAUAC